UAUGAAAUAAAAAUUUGUAAAGUACUAAGAUUACAAGUAUAUCCCUGAGGUGGGUCUAAAAUCCAACGAUUGAAAAUAAAAUCAUUUAUUCAACGGCUAGGAUGCAAUAAUCCUAAUACUAUAACUCUUUUUCCUCCGCCUCCAUAUCCCGCUCAAUCUUCGUCUUCUUCCUCUGCCAGUCUGCCUCAGUUCUGCAUCUCUCACUCUUAACAACUCACAUGUCAAGUAGAGGUUAGAAUCAUAUCCAAGUUUCGUUUACUAGUUAUUGCUUCAUCUUCUUCUUUUUCUCUAAUUUGUUUUUGUUUAGUUGAUCAAUCCAGUUUCUUUGAUUUCUAUCAAGAACCCAAACGCCGCAAACUCUAUUAACUUCUUCCCUGAUUUCUUCAGUUCACAAAUCCAUUAGAUGAAUUACUCUCCCAAAUCAAAACCCAACUUUUAAAUCAAACAAAACCUAAUUUACCGAAUCAAACAAAACCCUAAUUUGGUGAUUCAAAUCAAGAUCUCAAUUUCACUAAACUGUAACCUAAUUUAUGAAUUGAACAAACAAUUAUUUACCGAAUCGAACAAAACCCUAGUUUACCGAUCAAAUUAUAAUCUCAAUUUCAUUGAAUCAAAACCAAAACCCUAAUUUCUACCCAAUUUUGCUAAAUCAAAACCCUAACUUCUGUACAUGGAAACCCAAGUCUAUGUUGUUAUUUUGUUUUCUGGUGUUUGAUUAGUUGGGGAGCUGUUACAUCGGUGGGGGAUAUGGCGAUGCUAAGGGACAAAUGACAACGGAGAAUGAAAUAUAUGAAAUUAAAGAAGUUGUGAUUGUGUUUUUCCGGUCAUGUGGGCACUGAAUUAGUUACUCCGGUGUGGAAACUUGAUGGUGAUAGACAUAGUGGUUGAACUGGUAGCGAUAGAGAGACAAAAACGGGGAUGGAGAUGGUGCUGAUGGCUUUAGAGAAAGAACAGAAGAUGAUUCCCUUCCUUGGAUUGUUAUGAUGUAAUUGUUGAUAAAAAUUAAGGGCAUGAUUGUAAAUUGGUUUGGCAAUUUUGUUUUAUUUUUUUGUUUGGCAA
Papaver somniferum (opium poppy) is the source of this 1059-nucleotide long non-coding RNA. RefSeq lists it as uncharacterized. The transcript has 2 exons. The record is from RefSeq and is a predicted model, not a curated record. Lineage: Eukaryota; Viridiplantae; Streptophyta; Magnoliopsida; Ranunculales; Papaveraceae.